GAUGAACGCUGGCGGCGUGCCUAAUACAUGCAAGUCGAGCGAAGCGGGGACGGGUGAGUAACACGUGGAUAACCUCCUAUAAGCCUGGGAUAACUUCGGGAAACCGGAGCUAAACCGGAUACUUAUAGUUGGAUCCGCGUGGCAUUAGCUGGUUGGUAGGGUAACGGCUUACAAAGGCAACGAUGCAUAGCCGACCGGAGAGGGGGAUCGGCAACACUGGAACUGAGACACGGCCAAGACGCUUACGGGAGGCAGCAGUGGGGAAUCUUCGGAAAUGGGCGAAAGCCUGACGGAGCAAGGCCGCGUGAGUGAUGAAGGUCUUCGGAGCGUAAACCUCUGUUAUUAGGGAAGCGGUACCUAAUCAGAAAGCCACGGCUAACUACGUGCCAGCAGCCGCGGUAAUUC
Molecule: ribosomal RNA, 405 nt
Filed under: uncultured bacterium
Lineage: Bacteria
Description: partial 16S ribosomal RNA
Rfam family: Bacterial small subunit ribosomal RNA
Source: RNAcentral